Molecule: transfer RNA, 71 nt
Filed under: Acinetobacter phage YMC13/03/R2096
Lineage: Duplodnaviria; Heunggongvirae; Uroviricota; Caudoviricetes
Also listed under: 1 other name
Rfam family: tRNA
About the family: Transfer RNA (tRNA) molecules are approximately 80 nucleotides in length. Their secondary structure includes four short double-helical elements and three loops (D, anti-codon, and T loops).
Source: Rfam by way of RNAcentral
GUGACUUUGGUGUAAUGGUUUGCAUCACUCCCUGUGAAGGAGAAGGUCAGGGUUCAAAUCCCGAAGUCACA